Molecule: signal recognition particle RNA, 99 nt
Filed under: Bacteroidota bacterium
Lineage: Bacteria; Pseudomonadati; Bacteroidota
Also listed under: 1 other name
Description: Bacteroidetes bacterium (activated sludge metagenome) signal recognition particle sRNA small type
Rfam family: Bacteroidales small SRP
About the family: The non-coding component of the signal recognition particle in Bacteroides
Source: RNAcentral
CGGCAAGUCUUAUACGACUAGCUCCUGCUUAAUCCCCCAGGGUCGGAAGACAGCAAGGGUCGGCGGUUGUAGCGGUGCGAUAUAAGUAACUUGCCUUUU